AGAGUUUGAUCCUGGCUCAGGAUGAACGCUGGCGGCGUGCCUAAUACAUGCAAGUCGAGCGAACGGACGAGAAGCUUGCUUCUCUGAUGUUAGCGGCGGACGGGUGAGUAACACGUGGAUAACCUACCUAUAAGACUGGGAUAACUUCGGGAAACCGGAGCUAAUACCGGAUAAUAUUUUAAACCGCAUGGUUCAAAAGUGAAAGACGGUCUUGCUGUCACUUAUAGAUGGAUCCGCGCUGCAUUAGCUAGUUGGUAAGGUAACGGCUUACCAAGGCAACGAUGCAUAGCCGACCUGAGAGGGUGAUCGGCCACACUGGAACUGAGACACGGUCCAGACUCCUACGGGAGGCAGCAGUAGGGAAUCUUCCGCAAUGGGCGAAAGCCUGACGGAGCAACGCCGCGUGAGUGAUGAAGGUCUUCGGAUCGUAAAACUCUGUUAUUAGGGAAGAACAUAUGUGUAAGUAACUGUGCACAUCUUGACGGUACCUAAUCAGAAAGCCACGGCUAACUACGUGCCAGCAGCCGCGGUAAUACGUAGGUGGCAAGCGUUAUCCGGAAUUAUUGGGCGUAAAGCGCGCGUAGGCGGUUUUUUAAGUCUGAUGUGAAAGCCCACGGCUCAACCGUGGAGGGUCAUUGGAAACUGGAAAACUUGAGUGCAGAAGAGGAAAGUGGAAUUCCAUGUGUAGCGGUGAAAUGCGCAGAGAUAUGGAGGAACACCAGUGGCGAAGGCGACUUUCUGGUCUGUAACUGACGCUGAUGUGUGAAAGCGUGGGGAUCAAACAGGAUUAGAUACCCUGGUAGUCC
This 806-nucleotide ribosomal RNA is filed under the name uncultured bacterium. RNAcentral describes it as "bacterial SSU rRNA". It matches the Rfam family "Bacterial small subunit ribosomal RNA", at positions 8 to 796 of the family's 1533-position model. The record is from RNAcentral.